GGUAAACGCUGGCGGCGUGCCUAAAACAUGCAAGUCGAACGCACCACGCAAGUGGUGAGUGGCAGACGGCUGAGUAACGCGUGGGUGACCUGCCCCCUGGUGGGGAAUAACUGCCCGAAAGGGUGGCUAAUACCGCAUAGGUCCCCGAGGUCAGACUCGGGGGCAAAGCCGCAAGGCGCCAGGGGAGGGGCCCGCGUCCGAUUAGCUGGUUGGUGGGGUAAUGGCCUACCAAGGCGACGAUCGGUAGCUGGUCUCAGCGGAUGAUCAGCCAGACUGG
RNAcentral lists this ribosomal RNA (277 nucleotides) under uncultured bacterium. RNAcentral's name for it is "partial 16S ribosomal RNA". It matches the Rfam family "Bacterial small subunit ribosomal RNA", at positions 28 to 316 of the family's 1533-position model. The record is from RNAcentral.